RNAcentral lists this unclassified non-coding RNA (557 nucleotides) under Hevea brasiliensis (rubber tree). Lineage: Eukaryota; Viridiplantae; Streptophyta; Magnoliopsida; Malpighiales; Euphorbiaceae. The record is from RNAcentral.
UCUCCAGCUUAAGGCUAAUGGCUAGAAGAGUGAUCUCCUCAUCAUGCUCCUAAUCCAAUCUUUCUUGGUCCAGAGGAAGAGUGUACUUUUUCCCAAACCAGCUAGCAAGCGAGUAAUUAUCAACCACCGACUGUGCAGCGAGAACUUAUUCUCUUGUAUGAGCUGGUUGAGGAAUGGGAACAGUUUCCUAUUUGGCUGCUUUCUCAGGAAUUGCAAGCUCUGCCGUGGAGGUGGGGGAGGAGUCAAUGUGAAUUAUUUCUUGGCCAAGAGCGAAGAAGUCAGUGGACUCUCAUCCUAAGUCAAUUAGCAGAAGAAUCAUAUGCUUCGCUCAAUGCUUGCUUUUCCCUUUCUUUUCCUUGAUAAGUGCACUAACAUCCUUCCUCUGCAUGCUUGACAUUUCUGCAUGAAUAGAAAAAUCUUAAUAGGUAAAAUUGUAUGAGAGUCGAAGUAAAAGAAUUUUACCAUCUAUGGGAAAGUUAUUGUAAUGAUCAGGUGCCAUAGAAUAACUAGAGACAUUAGUGGCAUACCGCCAAUCUGAUUCUAUUUAGAUCAGUUGG